This 387-nucleotide ribosomal RNA is filed under the name uncultured bacterium. RNAcentral's name for it is "bacterial SSU rRNA". It matches the Rfam family "Bacterial small subunit ribosomal RNA", at positions 29 to 383 of the family's 1533-position model. The record is from RNAcentral.
AACGAACGUUGGCGGCGUGGAUUAGGCAUGCAAGUCGAGCGGGAUCCUGCUUUUUCAAUUCUUCGGAAGAGAAGCUGCGGGUGAUAGCGGCGAACGGGUUAGUAAUAAAUGGGUAAUUUGCCUCUUUGUUCGGAAUAGCCAUCGGAAACGAUGAUUAAUGCCGGAUGUGUUCGGGAACUGCAUAGUUCCUUAUAUAAAGGCGGGGAUUCUUCGGAACCUGUCGCAAAGAGAUAAGCCCAUUUCCUAUCAGCUAGUUGGUGAGGUAAUGGCUCACCAAGGCUUACGGGUAGUUGGUCUGAGAGGAUGAUCAGCAACACUGGGACUGAGACACUGCCCAGACUCCUACGGGAGGCUGCAGUCGAGAAUCAUUGUCAAUGCACGAAAGUG